UGGUCCUCAUUCUGACUUCAGGAAGCAC
Molecule: non-coding RNA, 28 nt
Filed under: Mus musculus (house mouse)
Lineage: Eukaryota; Metazoa; Chordata; Mammalia; Rodentia; Muridae
Source: RNAcentral